CCAAUAGCGUAUAUUAAAGUUGUUGCAGUUAAAAAGCUCGUAGUUGAACUUCGGGGUUUACCCAUUGGUCAGGCUUAAUUGUCUGUACUGGUGAGAUGAAUCUCUACCUUCUGAGGAACUUUCAUGCCAUUUAUUUGGUGUGAUGGGAAAUCAGGACUGUUACUUUGAAAAAAUUAGAGUGUUUAAAGCAGGCUAACGUCUGAAUACAUUAGCAUGGAAUAAUGAAAUAGGACGGACUGAUUCUAUUUCGUUGGUUUCUAGGAUCACCGUAAUGAUUAAUAGGGAUAGUUGGGGGCAUUAGUAUUCAAUUGUCAGAGGUGAAAUUCUUGGAUUUAUUGAAGACUAACUACUGCGAAAGCAUUUGCCAAGGAUGUUUUCAUUAAUCAAGAACGAAAGUUAGGGGAUCGAAGACGAUCAGAUACCGUCGUAGUCUUAACCAUAAACUAUGCCGACUAGGGAUCGGAUGAUGUUAAUUUUUUAAUGACUCAUUCGGCGCCUUACG
This 502-nucleotide ribosomal RNA is filed under the name uncultured Glomeromycotina. Its description in RNAcentral is "partial small subunit ribosomal RNA". It matches the Rfam family "Eukaryotic small subunit ribosomal RNA", at positions 591 to 1092 of the family's 1831-position model. Lineage: Eukaryota; Fungi; Glomeromycota. The record is from RNAcentral.